This 484-nucleotide ribosomal RNA is filed under the name uncultured bacterium. RNAcentral describes it as "partial 16S ribosomal RNA". It matches the Rfam family "Bacterial small subunit ribosomal RNA", at positions 30 to 507 of the family's 1533-position model. The record is from RNAcentral.
AUUGAACGCUGGCGGCAGGCCUAACACAUGCGAGUCGAGCGGAUGAAGGGAGCUUGCUCCUGGAUUCAGCGGCGGACGGGUGAGUAAUGCCUAGGAAUCUGCCUGGUAGUGGGGGAUAACGUCCGGAAACGGGCGCUAAUACCGCAUACGUCCUGAGGGAGAAAGUGGGGGAUCUUCGGACCUCACGCUAUCAGAUGAGCCUAGGUCGGAUUAGCUAGUUGGUGGGGUAAAGGCCUACCAAGGCGACGAUCCGUAACUGGUCUGAGAGGAUGAUCAGUCACACUGGAACUGAGACACGGUCCAGACUCCUACGGGAGGCAGCAGUGGGGAAUAUUGGACAAUGGGCGAAAGCCUGAUCCAGCCAUGCCGCGUGUGUGAAGAAGGUCUUCGGAUUGUAAAGCACUUUAAGUUGGGAGGAAGGGCAGUAAGUUUAUACCUUGCUGUUUUGACGUUACCAACAGAAUAAGCACCGGCUAACUUCGUG